AUUGAACGCUGGCGGCAGGCCUAACACAUGCAAGUCGAACGAGUGGCGGACGGGUGAGUAAUGUCUGGGAAUCUGCCUGAUGGAGGGGGAUAACCCCUGGAAACGGUAGCUAAUACCGCAUACUAUCAGAUGUGCCCAUAUGGUAUUAGCUUGUUGGUGGGGUAACGGCUCACCAAGGCGACGAUCCCUAUCUGGUCUGAGAGGAUGACCAGCCACACUGGAACUGAGACCCGGUCCAGACUCCUACGGGAGGCAGCAGUGGGGAAUAUUGCACAAUGGGCGCAAGCCUGAUGCAGCCAUGCCGCGUGUAUGAAGAAGGCCUUAGGGUUGUAAAGUACUUUCAGCGGGGAGGCGUUACCCGCAGAAGAAGCACCGGCUAACUCCGUGCCAGCAGCCGCGGUAAUAC
This 406-nucleotide ribosomal RNA is filed under the name uncultured bacterium. Its description in RNAcentral is "partial 16S ribosomal RNA". It matches the Rfam family "Bacterial small subunit ribosomal RNA", at positions 30 to 526 of the family's 1533-position model. The record is from RNAcentral.